AUCAAAUUACAUGAAAUGCUAGGAAAUAGGUGUGUUUUGCAGUUAUAUAACACCAGCAAAAAUGAUAGAUCUCCAUCCCUGCCAAAUUGUUCUAACCAACUAAGCUACAAUUCAAAACAAUGCUAUGCAUAACGAGCAUAAUCAAUAUUAUCUCUUGAUGAUGGUGAAAAUGAAAAGAUUCUUUGUCUGUAAGUUGUAACUAUCCCAUGUGCUAGUUUAAAAAACGCACAUUCUUGCCUUAAUUUAAGAGCUCUUAAUCUCAAACAAGAUGUUAUGCACGUAUAAAUAUUCAAUCGACAUGUGAGUAGAAACAUCUUAAAUUUUUGAGAUCAAGUAGGAUGAAAAUCAAGAUUAAUGCAUAAAAUCCUGACAUGAUCUUUUAAUUAAACUUAAUU
Molecule: unclassified non-coding RNA, 395 nt
Filed under: Hevea brasiliensis (rubber tree)
Lineage: Eukaryota; Viridiplantae; Streptophyta; Magnoliopsida; Malpighiales; Euphorbiaceae
Source: RNAcentral